UUACGGCUCAGUAACACGUAGGUAACCUACCCUCAGGACUGAGAUAACCCCGGGAAACUGGGGCUAAUAUUAGAUAGAUAAAAGAUACUGGAAUGUUCUUUUAUCCAAAGCUUUUGCGCCUGAGGAUGGGCCUGCGUCCGAUUAGGUUGUUGGUGGGGUAAUGGCCCACCAAGCCUACGAUCAGUACGGGCAGUGAGAGCUGAAGCCCGGAGUUGGGGACUGAGACAAGGCCCCAGGCCCUACGGGGCGCAGCAGGCGCGAAACCUCUGCAAUGCGGGAAACCGUGACAGGGGGAUCCCAAGUGCUCAUGCAUUGCAUGGGCUGUUCUUUGGUCUAAGUAACCAGAGGAGUAAGGGCUGGGCAAGACCGGUGCCAGCCGCCGCGGUAAUACCGGCAGCUCAAGUGGUAGCCGCGAUUAUUGGGCCUAAAGCGUUCGUAGCCGGAUAAGUAAGUCUUUGGUUAAAUCCUGCGACUUAACCGUGGGAAAUCUAGAGAUACUGCUUGUCUUGAGACCGGGAGAGGUUGGAGGUACUCCCAGGGUAGGGGUGAAAUCCUGUAAUCCUGGGGGGACCACCUGUGGCGAAGGCGUCCAACUGGAACGGGUCUGACGGUGAGGGACGAAACCUAGGGGAGCGAGCCGGAUUAGAUACCCGGGUAGUCCUAGGCGUAAAUGAUGCGAGUUAAGUGUGGGGGCAUCUACGAGAUGGCCCUGUGCUGUAGGGUAGCC
RNAcentral lists this ribosomal RNA (727 nucleotides) under uncultured euryarchaeote. RNAcentral describes it as "bacterial SSU rRNA". It matches the Rfam family "Archaeal small subunit ribosomal RNA", at positions 83 to 813 of the family's 1478-position model. Lineage: Archaea; Methanobacteriati; Methanobacteriota. The record is from RNAcentral.